RNAcentral lists this non-coding RNA (56 nucleotides) under Lotharella globosa. Lineage: Eukaryota; Cercozoa; Chlorarachniophyceae. The record is from RNAcentral.
GAAGAUAUCCUGCAGCGCGAUGCCGCCCCUUCCGAGGCUUCCUCGGAUGUCAAUGC